GGAGAGGUGGCAGAGUGGUCGAAUGCGCACGCUUGGAAAGCGUGUGUACCGCAAGGUACCGUGGGUUCGAAUCCCACCCUCUCCGCAA
RNAcentral lists this transfer RNA (88 nucleotides) under Calditrichota bacterium. Its description in RNAcentral is "Calditrichaeota bacterium tRNA-Ser". It matches the Rfam family "tRNA". Rfam says of the family: Transfer RNA (tRNA) molecules are approximately 80 nucleotides in length. The record is from RNAcentral. Lineage: Bacteria; Pseudomonadati; Calditrichota.